GCACCACAAACUCACAUCAGUAUUGGAAUAUUUGCUUUUUAGUAAUUGUCUAGCAGGCAUCUAAUAAUUAGACGCCCACCUCAUGUGUUCAAAAGAAAAUAAUGUUUAGAUAUGAUAGUGCUUUGAAAACACCUGUCUGACCAUGAGGUUGGGUUGUGAGGUUUAGGACUGGUUUGCCUUUGAUGUUAAUAUUAUGAAUGAAUAAUAUUAAGCAACAUUAAGCAGGAAUUUUGUGAUGUAGUGCAUAAGUAUAUCAGCGUAUCUCCGCCAAUCCAGUGACUCUGAUGGAGUUUGUUGACCAUCAGGUCUGGAUGGACAGCUGGUAAAGUUUUCCUGGGUGGCAGGAGAGAGAUUAAACCACGCUCAUAAAUGUUGGCCAUUGAUUGCUAGAAUAUUUGGUAGGCAAAUGUGUAUGUUUCACAAAGUGUUUGCAUUAUUUGUUUUGAAUACUUGAUGCUUGCCGUCAACUCAUGUCCCUUAAUGCUGCAAUAUGCAGAUUGAACAUGUCCUCCUACUGUAUUGCAAAAUACUAUUUUAGUCUUAAGGGAAUGACUACGUUAAGGCACAUGUUAACUCGUCCUCACUCCCUUAUUUACAGAAUAGAGCUGUCAAAAUGCCAAUGCACAAAUCUGGCACUCAGGCUAAAAGCAAAUGGCAAAAAGAUGGCAGACGGCUUUGAAGUCAUUUUGUGCUGGGCCCAGGAUGAAGAACUGCACCACAAACUCACAUCAGUAUUGGAAUAUUUGCUUUUUAGUAUUUCUCUAGCGGGCAUCUAAUAAUUAGAUGCCCACUUCAUGUGUCCAAAAGAAAGUUGCUUUGCCUUUUUUUUAGAAAUACAAUUUUCCACAUAUGCCUCUCUGGCUGUCUAGAUCAAUUGGACAACCAUUAGGUAUAUUUUUUCCACUCUUUAUGUAUGAUUUUAUGACUUUAUAGUUUAGAAAUACUGGGAAGAUUUAGAUUUUUUAUUUUAUUUUACUGUCGAGCAGUCGUGUUAGUGUAUUUCUACCCAUCCAGUCUAAUCC
Clupea harengus (Atlantic herring) is the source of this 1022-nucleotide long non-coding RNA. Lineage: Eukaryota; Metazoa; Chordata; Actinopteri; Clupeiformes; Clupeidae. The record is from Ensembl.